RNAcentral lists this transfer RNA (74 nucleotides) under Clostridia bacterium. Its description in RNAcentral is "tRNA-Gly". It matches the Rfam family "tRNA". From Rfam's summary of the family: Transfer RNA (tRNA) molecules are approximately 80 nucleotides in length. Their secondary structure includes four short double-helical elements and three loops (D, anti-codon, and T loops). The record is from RNAcentral. Lineage: Bacteria; Bacillati; Bacillota; Clostridia.
GCGAUAUUAGUGUAGUGGUAACAUUCCUGCCUUCCAAGCAGUCGUCGUCGGUUCGAGUCCGACAUAUCGCUCCA